UACGUAGGUGACAAGCGUUGUCCGGCUUUAUUAGGCGUAAAGCGAGCGCAGGCGGCUCUUUAAGUCUGAUGUGAAAGCCCACAGCUCAACCGUGGCACGGCAUUGGAAACUGGAGAGCUUGAAUGUAGAAGAGGAAAGUGGAAUUCCAUGUGUAGCGGUGGAAUGCGUAGAUAUAUAGAGGAACACCAGUGGCGAAGGCGACUUUCUGGUCUACUAUUGACGCUGAGGCUCGAGAGCGUGGGGAGCGAACAGG
This 253-nucleotide ribosomal RNA is filed under the name uncultured bacterium. Its description in RNAcentral is "partial 16S ribosomal RNA". It matches the Rfam family "Bacterial small subunit ribosomal RNA", at positions 524 to 776 of the family's 1533-position model. The record is from RNAcentral.